This 253-nucleotide ribosomal RNA is filed under the name uncultured bacterium. RNAcentral describes it as "partial 16S ribosomal RNA". It matches the Rfam family "Bacterial small subunit ribosomal RNA", at positions 524 to 776 of the family's 1533-position model. The record is from RNAcentral.
GACAGAGGGUGCAAGCGUUGUUCGGAAUUACUGGGCGUAAAGGGCGCGUAGGCGGUCCGCUAAGUUCGGCGUGAAAUCCCCGGGCUCAACCCGGGAACUGCGUCCGAUACUGGGGGGCUUGAAUCCGGGAGAGGGAUGUGGAAUUCCAGGUGUAGCGGUGAAAUGCGUAGAUAUCUGGAGGAACACCGGUGGCGAAGGCGGCAUCCUGGACCGGUAUUGACGCUGAGGCGCGAAAGCCAGGGGAGCAAACGGG